AAAAAGGAAAAGUCAGAGGGAUGAGCUGAGAAAAGUGUCCUUUUGGACAAAAAGUUCACUGAGAAUAUGUAGCCCACAAGAGAAUAUAGACUAGUCAUGAAGUGAGAGAGAUGAAUGUAAGACAGUCUGAGAAGCAUGCUAAAAAUAUAUUACUAUCAAAAUAUUAAUAGAACAAGAAGAAGAUAGAUCUACAUCAGGUGGAUUUAAGGAAAUACAUGGUCAAGACAUGUGUUGAGUGUCACAAAGACAGAGAGACAUUAGCACUCUGAAGGCAUUUGGAAAACUAGAUUGAGUAAUCUCUUUGGGACAGAACUUCAGUAAUAGAAUUUCGUGGUCAAAGGUCUGGGAGGUUGCCUGGUGAGUUCAAGAAGUCCAGAGAUCUUGGAUCUCUCAGUCAGAGCUGGCUGGCAGCGUGAA
Molecule: long non-coding RNA, 417 nt
Filed under: Monodelphis domestica (gray short-tailed opossum)
Lineage: Eukaryota; Metazoa; Chordata; Mammalia; Didelphimorphia; Didelphidae
Description: lncRNA (ENSMODG00000037487.1)
Source: RNAcentral